GUCAUACCCAUUUUUGUACAAUUCCUUUAAAGAUAAUUAAGCCAGGCCGUGGUGGUGCACGCCUUUAAUCCCAGCACCCAGCACGCAGAGGCAGGUGAAGCUCUGUGAGUUCAAGACCAGCCUGGUCUAAAGAGGGGGUUAGCCAGGGCUACACAGAGAAACCCUACCUUGAAGUGGGGGAAAUAACUAAUGGCUUAUCUGGGCAGAGUAAAAGGACCUUGGACUCGGUCUGGCUGGAUUCCAGCCCUGCUAUGACUGUCAGCAGCUGAUCAUCUCAGCCAUGUGACCUCUCUGGGACACAGCUGCUGUACCCUUGACCCUGCCCUGUUCAGUGCCUUCUGGUUUCAUCUUUUCCAUGGGCCUAAGAGGUAGUAAGACACUACCACUAACCCUGCUUCACAGAAGAACACGCAGCCUGAAUGCAGCUGACUGGACCAGUUGACCCUGUGGGACCUGUCUCUUCUCCAUUCAAGCCUAGAGAGUCCUCUAGGACUGAGCAGAAGGUCUCGUUGUUUGCAUAUUUCUCAUUGCAGGCUGUGCCACCCAAGGAGAAGCCUGUGUGAAUCAGUAUGAGUGCUAAGAUUCCAGGGAGUGUUUCUGUCUGACGCCUUCUUGGUUUACACAGAGUGACCUGGAUACUUGUUGCUUGAUCCUAUCUUUGCCUGAAGAAUUUUUAGGUGUGACUUUACUGUAUUCUUCGUUGCCUCUUCCUCCUCCUUCUCUUUUCCUUUGAAAUGCAGAUUCUGGUUUAGGCCUGACGUCUCCAGUGAGCACUCUAGGAAAAGAAAAUAUUCUGGUCUGCAGUUUACAGAGCUGCCAGUGACAUGGCUAACAAGUAAGAGCACCUACUGGGCAAGCCUGAUGACCUGAGUUUGAUCCUGGAAACCGGAGUAAAAGGUUGGAUGUGACGGUGCACCUCUGUAAUCCAGCCUCCUAUGUCAAGCCAAGACUGGGGUGAGUUCCGAGUCAAGGAACCUGAGAGCCAGAACCACACAGCGUGAAAGAAUGAGGAAAUGCCCUGGCUGUGAUUUGCUGUCUUGACCAACACAGCUAUUUGGAGAAACACCCAGUACUUGUUUCAGAUCUGCCUGACUCUUCACAACAUCCUGGAAGGAUCUACUGCUUUCUUAUGGCGAUUUGGUUGCGGAGGCUCAGAGGACUAUGUCUGAGACUUUGAAAACAAUGUCGCACUGGCCACUCCCUGAGAGUUUCCCUUGGCCAAGUUACUUUUCGUUCCUCUCCCUUUCCUGGGUUUUCUAAAUUCUCAUUCUAAAUUCUCAGGAAAACUUUUAUUUACUUGAGUAAGAUGAUAACUGUUAAGUAAUCUCAGCUUAGUUUUACAGAACCUUGACCUUCAUAAAACAAUAGAAUGUGUACAGCCAUUCCAUGUUCUUUGGUUCCAAGCAUCAGAUAACACAAAACAUGUAAGUUGCUAUGAUGUUUAACUUGUAGAAAAGUGGUAAAUUUGUUACUUGUUCUAGGAGGUUUGUCCCAGCCGCCUCCCACUUUUCCUUUCUUGUAAAAGCUGCUCAUUGGGCUGGAGAGGUAGCUUGGUGGGUAGAGUGCUUACUGCACAAAUAUGAGGUUGUGGUUCCCAGCACCCAUGUAAAAAGAUGGGGUGGUGGCACAUACCUGUAAUCCCAGCACUGGGGAGACAGAGAAAGGAGGAUCCCUGGGGUUUGCGGGCCAGCCAGACCAGCUGAAUUGGUGAGCACUUGGCAUCUACCUUUGUCCUCUGUGCCCCGCCCCCCCGACAUACAGACACACAGACAAAUACAGACAGACACACAGACACAAACACACACAGACACAAAGACACACACACACACACACAUAGACAUACAGACACAGACACAUACAGCCAUACACACAGACAAGCACAUACACAGACAUAGACACACAGAUAGACAGACAAACAUAUAGACACAUACAAAUACACAAACUUUGUGCUCCCAAGUUUUCUGAGAUGGGGCUCUGAUGAAAUAGGCCCCAAGUAGAUGCAGGAAGGUCGCAAAGGGCAGAGGUAAUUGCCAAGUGCGAUAGGCCUCAUCUCCUCGGGAUGUCAGUCUCUGAAUAAAACUGGUUUCCUUUUUUACCUGGUCUCCUCCCCCGGAGGAGGGCUAGCAGUUGGACAUGGGGUCAGUAACGGCAAGUUGUUGGGAGAAGGACUGGAUUUUUAAAUCUAUAUUUUCCUGAAGUUUGUUUUGUGGACUUGCUAGUUCCUGCCUCACAGAUCAGAGCUAAUUCACGCCCUUGACACAGACAGUAAGGAUAAGGCAGCACAGUUCAAUGAAUCAAAUUUUGAUUCCUGGUCAUCAACAUAACCUGGAAAUGUGUUAGAAAUGCCCAUUCUUGGCCUCAUCCCAGAGCGCUCUCUAAGAACAUCUAGGGGUUGGGUCCAUCUCAGGGACACAAAAUACAUAUAGCAUGUCCAAGUCCUACAUCAAAUACCCAGAACAAUAAUUUAAGAAAAAAAGAGACAUUCUUGGGGGAAGCUGGGAGUGUGGCUUUUGACUUCCAGCACCUUGGUUUUACCCACGAUCAUGGAAUUUUAAAAUUGUGGGCCUGGCCAAGCAAUCCACAAACCUGAUUACUUGACUUCAAUCCUUGCUUGAUAACUGGAUCCCAGAGUGGGAGGAGAGACCUUGUUCCUGGAUGUUGUCCCCUGACUUCCACACUAAAAAUAACAAAUAAAAAUAAAAAUAACCCAGGCAAGCUAA
Long non-coding RNA from Psammomys obesus (fat sand rat), 2720 nucleotides. RefSeq lists it as uncharacterized. The record is from RefSeq and is a predicted model, not a curated record. NCBI's taxonomy places the organism in Eukaryota, Metazoa, Chordata, Mammalia, Rodentia, Muridae. The transcript is spliced from 4 exons.